Molecule: long non-coding RNA, 4207 nt
Organism: Passer domesticus (house sparrow)
Lineage: Eukaryota; Metazoa; Chordata; Aves; Passeriformes; Passeridae
Exons: 4
Source: RefSeq, a predicted model, not a curated record
GACCUGUGAGCAAAGCACAGGAACAACAGCUACAGGAAGGAGCUGUGACACCACAUCCCAUUCCAUGUGCCAACACAGAGCUGGAUAACGAGGUCCAGCAGCUACACCACGGGGCCCUCUGCAUCAGAAGAAUUAAUACAAAGAAAUCUUCAAGAGAUGGUCACAGAAUCACAGAUUGGAGGAGGUUGGAAAGCACCUCUGGAGAUCAUCUUUUCCAACCCACCCGUGGCUCAAGCAGGGCCAGCUCGAGCUCAGCUACCCAGGACCACAUCCAGAGAGCUUUAGAGGAUCUCCAUGGAGAGAGAGAGACUGCACGCCCUCCCUGGGCACCCUGUGCUAUCACUGCCACAGUAAAAAUCGUUUCCUGAUGUUCAGAGGGAACCUCCUGUGUUUCAGUUGAUGCCCAUGGCCCCUGCUCCUGGAACUUGGCACCACUGAAAAGAGUCUGGUGGUUUGCACCCUGUCUUUGGGGGCUCACACACACUGCUCAGAUCCGCCUGAGCCUUCUGCAGCUCAACAGGCACAGCUCCCUUGGCCUUUCUUCAGAGCACACAGGCUCCCAUCCCUUCAUCUCUGUGACCUCCCUCCAGUAUGUCUACAUCUUCCUCAUGCUGGAAAUUGCAGAACUGGAAACAUUUGAGCAGUAUUUUCUCAUGCAGAAAUAACAAUAGUAUCUCCUAUUGGCUUAGAUUACAUUGGCAAGAAAAAGCACUUGGUGGGCUUUGGCUCUCACUGCCUAGGUAGCUUCACCAUAACUAAAAUGCUCAGAAACUGAUGAAUCAUUCUUUAUCUGAAAUAAAACCAUCAAGUUUAAUCGGUGCACCUUCCACUUUGAGCCAAAAGAAUGGUAAAUAAAGGAGCAUGCAACUUCUAAAAUGCUUGAGGAAACACAUCUUUCCCUCAUAAAAGCAUACUCUAAUAAUGAAUAUUAUUAGCUUUGUGUAAGCGUCUCCUGAGGCACUACAGCAUCUGAAGAAACCAUCCUAAGAGACAAAGAUGCUUCACUUUGACAGUGUGUUUACCAGCCCAGCCUGAAGGAAGUUCCAGUCACAGAACAGAAAGGUUGGUUUUACAAAACAGUGAUACAUGCAUAACAAAAGCACAACAAAAGAGCUACCAGCCAGAGUUUAAGGGCUAUGGGUAGCAAUUAAUUGCUGAAACACUCUAAUGCCCACCCUCAGGAGUUAUCAGUCAUGGCCUUUGGCUCACCAACACAGUUGCUUUAUCAGGAAAGCUAAAAGGAGCAGCACCUCCCAUUCAGUCACACCAACAGCCAAAAAUAAGUCUCAAUUUGGCCCUAUCUUGCUCACACAUAAAUAGUCCCAUCAAUGUGAUAAAACCCAGGGUUAAAGGCAUAAUUUUAUUUUUUGCUUCUUUACAGUAAGACUUCCAUGACCCAAACAAGUCAGUGCUGUACUCUCCAACACAUCAAACUAAUCUGGCCCUACCAUUAACAGCUUCAUGCCAAAACAAAUGAUCAGAACACAGGACAGUGACAGGGGCAGAAUGAAUGUGAUCCCAGCUUAGCAACAGAUUAUCCUGUUGGAUAAUCUUCUCCACACCUUUGCUGGAUUUUAGGAACUAAAAAGCUCUGUAUUUUGAGCACACUGUAAAGAUGGUACGAUUUUAUUUUCCAUAGGAGGAAGGCUGUCCAUGAUGGGAGUGGAGACAAGCAAAGCCAUCUCCCCUCAGCUGUAGCAAGCUGCUAUCCUUCUGAAGCUGCUAGAACAUCCUGCACAAAUCCUUAAAUGCCCAUAGUAUCCACCCAGUCAUCUGGGGCAUUCUCCUGAUCCAAGCACACAUUUCUUUCCAGGAACACACCUGGAAGUGUUUCAGGGCAGUCAGUUCCAAGCAGCUUCCUUGAAGCCUGAUGGCAAAUUCAUCUUCAGAUCCCAGAGUCCACAACUCUUCAGGCUCAGGAUAGUGAGACCUCAGGAUGGCAGCCAGGAGAAAACCCAAGCCUGUAUCUUUCCCUGCAAAGGACACGGCCUUCAGCUGCCAGAAUUCCUCACCUUCAGAGAAUGAACAUCCAAACUCAGGCUCCCUGCAGCAACAGUUAUUAAUAGAAAGGAUUAUGGAUAUUAAUCAACUGGGAACAUAAGAACAUGUUCUACAGGAAUAAUAAAAACCAUCAUCAACUCCCCAGGUUCUUGGAUUUAAUGAGAAAUCUGAAGGUAAUCCCAUCUUGUUAAAUAGAGAUUUACAGGAGUAACCACUUACCUGCAAACAGAGCUUCAACCCACAGACUUGCACGUGGCACAGAGCAUCCACCUCCAGAACCCAGCUGCUAUUCUUAAGACACAUCCUUAAGUCCUGCAAGUCUUUGGGGAUUGCUAUCCCACAUACUUACAUAAUCACCCAUUCCAUUUUCUAGCUAAGCCAUCAGCUAAAUACCAGAAUGCAGCUCUCAAAAGGGAAAGCUCAGGAGCAAGUGGGGAUAGAAUCUCUGCAGGGUAAAGAGAGAGAUUCUUUACUUCCAGGUGGGCUUCUGUUUCCUCCCUUUUAAACUGGACUUUCAGACCCCUUUAACUUCAGUCAAGUUCAUUACCAGAUGGUGAGAAAAUUCUGGAAAAUGGCAGAAUGUAAAUGCAAGAUGCUUAUUAGCAAAAGGUCUGCUCAGUAGAAUAGGGAACUGUUUUUCUAAAUUGCAAUUUAGAGUGUAGAAUUUGUAAUAUAUAAAUUUUAAAUAUAUUUUAAAGCUCAUAUUGCAGCACUAAUCUAUAUUACUCAAACAUUCACAUGACGUUAUUACAGAAGACAAAAAUGCCUAAAAAAGUAAACCCAAAUAGUUCCACUUGUACAGUCUCACCAGACAUCACUUUCAGUACUUUUAACAGGGAGCCUAUAUCCUUAGAAAUCUUGGUUUAUUCCUCGUUUAUCUGGAAAUCCCCCCAUUAAAAGUCUUUGUCCAUUCUCGCCAGCUCUAGUCCCAGUGAUUUUGUGGUUUUAUCUGGGUACCUCAAACAGUUUCAAGCAAAACCCACUGUAGCACUGCCAUCUUGUUUCUGAAUUGCAAUUCUGAACAGGACACUCGAGCAGCUUGAGAUGUGCCUAUAACAAUUAGCUCAGACUAAUUUCAUCAGACAAUAAAGCUCCAAGCUAUCAGAUUUAUAUUCUUGAAGUCUCAGUCAGAAAUAAUACUAGACUAAGAAACAGGAAGUGAAUGCUUCCUACAAGAGUUGAUUUUUUUGUUAUUAUCUUAAGACCAUGUUGUUCUCAACAUUGUUUUAGAUUAAUUGCAGAGUUCAAAAUAUUUUCAUGAAGAUUCUCAUGUGUUUUUAUCUAGAAAAUCUGAAGUGAAUGACAGGAAGAACACAGUAGUACAGCUAACUUAAAACACUCCAGACCUUAUCUCUCUUCUCUGCAAGCAAGGAAAGGAGGUUGGAAUGAGGCAAGUGGUGGUCUCUUAUCCAAAUUAGCAAUCAGUAAGACAUAAGGAAAAGGUCUCGAGGCAUGCCAGGGGAGGUUUAGCUUGGAUAUUAGGAAAAAAUUACCCACCAAAAGGGCUGUCAAGCAUUGGAACAGGCUGCCCAGAGAAGGGCUUGAGUCACCAGCCCUGGAGAGGUUUAAAAGAUGUGUACAUGUGGUACUUGGGGACACAGUUUCGUGUGACUUGGCAGUGGCUGGGCUAAUGGUUGAACACAAUCUUAAAGGUCUUUGCCAAGCUAAGGAUUCUCUAAUUCUGUGAGAAAAUACAGAAAGGCAGCCUCCCAUCUCUGUGAUCAGCAAGCAGCAGCAGCAAUCACAUGUUUGACUUUGCUGUUCCCACCAUCCCUGCAGCCAAGGUCGCCAUGAAGACACAGACCUCCAUUUCAGUAUUCUGCAAAUCUCAACAAAAGAAAAACAUUUUAUUUUUUUGUUGACCUCAGCUGACAAAAAGGCUUUUAAGCUCUUGAAAUAAACGUCAAAGCAGAAUGCUGCUGUUACCUUAGAAAGAAGUCAUAUUUGUGAUCAAGUUUCUUUGCAUGAAACUGAUCAAACUGUUUCACUGGCAGCAAUAAACAGAUAUAAAGCAUAGGUUUCUCCUACAGGGAAAAUUUGGAAACAGACACUGUACCUUACUGUCCUCAUCCUCAAACACGGACUGGUGAACAUUACAGGCGAAGAGAGAAUUUGGGAGAUCGUUGAAAUCAAUUAUUUCAUGAAAAUCUUCCUCUGCAAAACAUCUCUUCAGGCCGUGGUCUCCAUUGAUAGAGUAGAGCAGGAA